UGUUACCAUCCUCCAGGAAAAUAAGAGCUCUUGGAUCAAUUCUGCCUGCUUUUAGAGGAACCUGAAAUUCUAACUUUCAAGAAGGAAUAAAUCUUAGUCCUAAUAAGAAGCAUUUAAGUACAGGCAGAAAGAAGCUCAGACUUACCACUCCUGAACUGCAGCUACAGAAUGCCUUGAGGAUUAUUUGAGUCUCCAACCAGUCACCUUGGUCAGAGACAAGAAAUGCAACUGGUGUGUUGAACAAAAAACACUUGCCAUGGACAAAUGUAAGCAGAGGAAAACACAGCAAUACUGACCAAGGAGGAGUACAAAGAUGUCAUCAGUCAGUCAGAGGGACUGGAAAGCAUCUGUAUAUGUAGUGUGUGGUAGAUUAUAGAAAGAAAGAAAAUUCAGUCUCAUAACUCA
RNAcentral lists this long non-coding RNA (405 nucleotides) under Numida meleagris (helmeted guineafowl). Its description in RNAcentral is "lncRNA (ENSNMEG00000013675.1)". The record is from RNAcentral. Lineage: Eukaryota; Metazoa; Chordata; Aves; Galliformes; Numididae.